AGAUAAAAUUGCUGAAAACACCGAGUUAAACAUCGUAACCUCGCAACCGAGUCAUUCCUCUCUUUAUCUCGUAUCUAAGUGGACACCGUGCCCUCUGGACUUUACCAUCGGUCAGUCCGUUGUACGUUCACAUUGUACACGCCGAUUCCCUAAGGCUCCUAACGCAUGGAUAGGAAGUCUUGCAAGGAGUUACUAUCGAUGUUUCAUUGUGCAUAAAAAUAGGACAUGUGAAGGCUAAAGACAACAACAGGUUGUCGCAUAAGUCUAGUACAUAAAGGCAGGCCAAGAAUACGUUACUUCUGGGGAAGGAACAAGGCGCUCGGGGCAGGACAGGACUUAGUUAUUCUUGUAUAUCAGGGAUAUGGUCUAUAACAUCAAAGCUCCGAGAAGAAUGAUAUGAACACGACCAUAACACCUUGUGUCUUCACCUGUGCACACGUGAUCAGAAAGGCCCGCAAUAUGAGGGCAAGACGAAGGAAGCACUUGACUAUCUCGUCAUGACCAUGGUUGCAUUGUUCACUCGUGGAGUUCUCUUUAACACACAUGUCAGUUGUCCAACAGUUCAGUUAAUCGUAAAUUAUUUGUGUCUUUUUGAGGGUGGGGUAGAGGAUUGGGAGGGUAAAGUAAGUGUUGAAAUUGUUAUGGUAGUUUUAAUACAUAUUCCGUACUGUAUUUUCUUAGGCAAAACUCUUCAAACGUUUAAAGAACAUCGUUUGUUUUUCUGGUCAUAGGUGGUUAUGGAAAGCUUUGAAAUAUUUCAUACAAUUUCAUCCAUCAAUAUUCUCCAUAAUCGAUAUCUAUAAUUUAUAUAAAGUGCAUGCACAGAGUUCAUUUCGCUCAGAAAGCCAAGCGAAUGUGGAAUGCGUCACAAAGUAAAACAGUAUAUAUCAGGAACAUAAUCCUCCUUAAAGAUGUUCAAAUGUCACAGGAGAUUGAAGCCGUUGAAUGCUGUUGUAUAAUGGUAAUUAUUAAACUUGAUCA
Ostrea edulis (European flat oyster) is the source of this 981-nucleotide long non-coding RNA. RefSeq lists it as uncharacterized. The record is from RefSeq and is a predicted model, not a curated record. The transcript is spliced from 4 exons. Lineage: Eukaryota; Metazoa; Mollusca; Bivalvia; Ostreida; Ostreidae.